RNAcentral lists this long non-coding RNA (443 nucleotides) under Pan troglodytes (chimpanzee). Its description in RNAcentral is "lincRNA". The record is from RNAcentral. Lineage: Eukaryota; Metazoa; Chordata; Mammalia; Primates; Hominidae.
GAUAUGGAAUCCAGCUCUGUCAUCCAGCCGGGAGUGUAGUGGCAUGAUCUCGGCUCACUGCAACCUCUCCCUCCUGGGUUCAAGCAAUUCUCUGCCUCAGCCUCCUGAGUAGCUGAGAUUACAGUGAGCUACUAUCACAUAGUUGCACGCCAGCCUGGGUGACAGGGUGAAACCCUAUCCAAAUAAUAAUAAUAAUUUGACAAAUAAAGUCUCUUUUAAUGUAGCUGGAAUUGUGUAAGAAAGUCUUUCCUCAGCAAAUAAGAAAUGGACUAUGAAAUCUCCCAGAAUCUUUUUUAGCCCCUAAUUAGCUAUAAAUCUCCUUACAGUUUAGCCAUGGGAGGCCCAAGACAUGAAUUGGUGGCAUGGCACAUGGUCUAAUGUGCAUAUUGUAUAAAGUUAUCUAAAUACAUCUUGAGAGAGCCCACGCUUUCUCCGUUCUUUUG